CCCAGACCUCAUUUAAGGGCUGGCAGUAGAAGUAAAGACAGCUUGUUGGGGAAUCUAUGUGUACCUAGGGCCUUCUCAAGGGAAGGCCAAAUGUCCGAUGCAGAAACUCAGAUACUUUCCUGGUAACUCAGAGCAAGGAAGAAGCCUGUUCUCAGCCAGUCUUGCAAGUAGAAUUUUCUGAAGGGAAGGAAUAUGGCAAACAGUGAAGUGUCCUUGUUCAACAUGGAAAUUAGACAACCACAGAGGAUGAAAUGGGUCUAAGUAGGUCAAGUGCCAGAAUGAGGUCUGAGCUGAGAAGUCCAAGACAAAUGUUUUUUCUGAGGGAUCUGCAGCAGCUGCACAACAGUUGGCCCUAAACAGCAUGCUUCAGUUCUGGCUUCUGGCACGGAAAGUGCUGCUCAUGGACUUUGAACAGCUACCCACAAAAUGGAGUGCCAGGACACAGUUUCAGGCGUGAAUGGACAAGAAGAAAGGCCAUAUGAGGACACCAAGAAACCAAACGUAUCUUGAGAGAUCUGAAAUGAAACUGGGAGAAGCUGGAGCUGGACAACACCUUUGUUUCCUUCACACAAGGGGCUGGAGAAACAAGCUUCACGGUGCAGCUCAUGUGGUUACUCAGAACGUAACCACCACUUAAUUUUGAUUUGGGCAGAUCAAAUUUGAGCUCAGCAAAGUAAGGACAUGGAACUAUAUAUUAUCAUGCUAAGUUUGCGGACUGCACUCUCAAUUCAUAUAAUCUGCUCAUCUUUCCCAUGCAAAUUACUCAACACCAUUUUUGCAAUGCAACCUCGGGUGAAGCCAAACGCUCCGUGGCACCCACCUCAGCAGCGCCAGUAAAGGCACGGGGACCUCACACUGCCGAGAGUUACUCAGGGAAACUUUCAGAACCAGGCGCUCACACAAAAGUGUACCGAGGGAAGCCUGGUUCACCACCAGAAGCCCUCCGCCAUUCACGUCCC
Numida meleagris (helmeted guineafowl) is the source of this 959-nucleotide long non-coding RNA. RefSeq lists it as uncharacterized. Lineage: Eukaryota; Metazoa; Chordata; Aves; Galliformes; Numididae. The transcript has 4 exons. The record is from RefSeq and is a predicted model, not a curated record.